CUAUUUAACUAUAUUAUUCUAUUUGUAUAAAUUAUUUUCUUUAUGUUAAUGUAUUUGAUAUCAAAUAUUUAUAGAAGAUCUAUUUAAUAUAAUGUUUAAAAUACAUAUAGAAAUACUUUUUUUAUCUG
Molecule: ribosomal RNA, 128 nt
Filed under: Cercomegistus sp. SCB-2001
Lineage: Eukaryota; Metazoa; Arthropoda; Arachnida; Mesostigmata; Cercomegistidae
Description: partial 12S ribosomal RNA
Source: RNAcentral